Molecule: ribosomal RNA, 517 nt
Filed under: Serratia marcescens
Lineage: Bacteria; Pseudomonadati; Pseudomonadota; Gammaproteobacteria; Enterobacterales; Yersiniaceae
Description: partial 23S ribosomal RNA
Rfam family: Bacterial large subunit ribosomal RNA
Source: RNAcentral
AGAAGCAGCCAUCAUUUAAAGAAAGCGUAAUAGCUCACUGGUCGAGUCGGCCUGCGCGGAAGAUGUAACGGGGCUAAACCAUGCACCGAAGCUGCGGCAGCGACGCUUAGGCGUUGUUGGGUAGGGGAGCGUUCUGUAAGCCGUUGAAGGUGGCCUGUGAGGGUUGCUGGAGGUAUCAGAAGUGCGAAUGCUGACAUAAGUAACGAUAAAGCGGGUGAAAAGCCCGCUCGCCGGAAGACCAAGGGUUCCUGUCCAACGUUAAUCGGGGCAGGGUGAGUCGACCCCUAAGGCGAGGCUGAAAAGCGUAGUCGAUGGGAAACAGGUUAAUAUUCCUGUACUUGGUGUUACUGCGAAGGGGGGACGGAGAAGGCUAGGCUGGCCGGGCGACGGUUGUCCCGGUUUAAGCGUGUAGGGGGUGUGACCUGGUAAAUCCGGUUGCAUACUAACCCUGAGGCGUGAUGACGAUGCACUACGGUGCAGAAGUAGUUGAUGCCCUGCUUCCAGGAAAAGCCUCUAA